UACGGGAGGCAGCAGUGGGGAAUAUUGGGCAAUGGGGGAAACCCUGACGCAGCAACGCCGCGUGAAGGAAGAAGGCCUUCGGGUUGUAAACUUUUGUUGCAAGGGAAGAAUAAUGACGGUACCUUGUGAGGAAGCCACGGCUAACUACGUGCCAGCAGCCGCGGUAAU
This 168-nucleotide ribosomal RNA is filed under the name uncultured rumen bacterium. RNAcentral describes it as "partial 16S ribosomal RNA". It matches the Rfam family "Bacterial small subunit ribosomal RNA", at positions 340 to 524 of the family's 1533-position model. The record is from RNAcentral.